RNAcentral lists this ribosomal RNA (36 nucleotides) under Nutomonas limna. Its description in RNAcentral is "Ancyromonas limna partial 28S ribosomal RNA". The record is from RNAcentral. Lineage: Eukaryota; Ancyromonadida; Planomonadidae. RNAcentral also lists the same sequence under 1 other name.
AGUCCUGAUUUCAAGCGAGGUUACCCGCUGGAUUUA